CCUACGGGGGGCAGCAGUGAGGAAUAUUCGUCAAUGGGGGAAACCCUGAACGAGCAACGCCGCGUGGAGGAUGAAGGCCUUCGGGUCGUAAACUUCUUUUAGGGGAGACGAGAAAGGACGGUAUCCCCGGAAUCAGUCACGGCUAACUACGUGCCAGCAGCCGCGGUAAUACGUAGGUGACGAGCGUUAUCCGGAUUUACUGGGCGUAAAGCGCUUGUAGGUGGUGCCGUAAGUUGGGCGUGAAAUCCCCGGGCUUAACCCGGAGAGGCCGUCCAAUACUGCGGUGCUAGAGGAUGUCAGAGGAAGGUGGAAUUCCUGGUGUAGUAGUGAAAUGCGUAGAUAUCAGGAGGAACACCCGUGGCGAAGGCGACCUUCUGGGACGUACCUGACACUGAGAAGCGAAAGCCAGGGGAGCAAACAGGAUUAGAAACCCUGGUAGUCCUGGCUGUAAACGAUGAAUACUAGGUGUAGGCGGCGUAAAACCUGUCUGUGCCGAAGCAAACGCGUUAAGUAUUCCGCCUGGGAAGUACGGUCGCAAGAUUAAAACUCAAAGGAAUUGACGGA
Molecule: ribosomal RNA, 564 nt
Filed under: uncultured bacterium
Lineage: Bacteria
Description: bacterial SSU rRNA
Rfam family: Bacterial small subunit ribosomal RNA
Source: RNAcentral